Molecule: transfer RNA, 73 nt
Filed under: Calidithermus terrae
Lineage: Bacteria; Thermotogati; Deinococcota; Deinococci; Thermales; Thermaceae
Description: Meiothermus terrae tRNA-Ser
Source: RNAcentral
AGCGCAGGCCGCUGAAGGCGGUGGAGGGGGGGCUCGAGGUCACCCUGCCGGUGUACAACUCGCCGCUGCGCUA